This 76-nucleotide transfer RNA is filed under the name Ixodes scapularis (black-legged tick). Its description in RNAcentral is "tRNA-Pro". The stretch from base 4 to 69 matches the Rfam family "tRNA". From Rfam's summary of the family: Transfer RNA (tRNA) molecules are approximately 80 nucleotides in length. Their secondary structure includes four short double-helical elements and three loops (D, anti-codon, and T loops). Further hydrogen bonds mediate the characteristic L-shaped molecular structure. tRNAs have two regions of fundamental functional importance: the anti-codon, which is responsible for specific mRNA codon recognition, and the 3' end, to which the tRNAs corresponding amino acid is attached (by aminoacyl-tRNA synthetases). tRNAs cope with the degeneracy of the genetic code in two manners: having more than one tRNA (with a specific anti-codon) for a particular amino acid; and 'wobble' base-pairing, i.e. permitting non-standard base-pairing at the 3rd anti-codon position. The record is from RNAcentral. Lineage: Eukaryota; Metazoa; Arthropoda; Arachnida; Ixodida; Ixodidae.
UCCUGGUUAGCUCAGUUGGUAGAGCGCUCAACUGGGAAGGGAGAGGUGCCUGGUUCGACACCAGGACCAAACGGAU